This 570-nucleotide ribosomal RNA is filed under the name Meyerozyma guilliermondii. RNAcentral's name for it is "LSU rRNA". It matches the Rfam family "Eukaryotic large subunit ribosomal RNA", at positions 62 to 648 of the family's 3401-position model. The record is from RNAcentral. Lineage: Eukaryota; Fungi; Ascomycota; Pichiomycetes; Serinales; Debaryomycetaceae.
AAACCAACAGGGAUUGCCUUAGUAGCGGCGAGUGAAGCGGCAAAAGCUCAAAUUUGAAAUCUGGCGCCUUCGGUGUCCGAGUUGUAAUUUGAAGAUUGUAACCUUGGGGUUGGCUCUUGUCUAUGUUUCUUGGAACAGGACGUCACAGAGGGUGAGAAUCCCGUGCGAUGAGAUGCCCAAUUCUAUGUAAGGUGCUUUCGAAGAGUCGAGUUGUUUGGGAAUGCAGCUCUAAGUGGGUGGUAAAUUCCAUCUAAAGCUAAAUAUUGGCGAGAGACCGAUAGCGAACAAGUACAGUGAUGGAAAGAUGAAAAGAACUUUGAAAAGAGAGUGAAAAAGUACGUGAAAUUGUUGAAAGGGAAGGGUUUGAGAUCAGACUCGAUAUUUUGUGAGCCUUGCCUUCGUGGCGGGGUGACCCGCAGCUUAUCGGGCCUGCAUCGGUUUGGGCGGUAGGAUAAUGGCGUAGGAAUGUGACUUUACUUCGGUGAAGUGUUAUAGCCUGCGUUGAUGCUGCCUGCCUAGACCGAGGACUGCGAUUUUAUCAAGGAUGCUGGCAUAAUGAUCCCAAACCGC